UACGAGUGGUGCAAGCGUUAUUCGGAAUUAUUGGGCGUAAAGGGUGCGUAGGCGGCGCGGUAAGUCGGGUGUGAAAUCUUGGAGCUUAACUCCGAAACUGCAUUCGAUACUGCCGUGCUUGAGGACUGGAGAGGAGACUGGAAUUUACGGUGUAGCGGUGAAAUGCGUAGAUAUCGUAAGGAAGACCAGUGGCGAAGGCGGGUCUCUGGACAGUUCCUGACGCUGAGGCACGAAGGUCAGGGGAGCAAACGGG
This 253-nucleotide ribosomal RNA is filed under the name uncultured bacterium. RNAcentral's name for it is "partial 16S ribosomal RNA". It matches the Rfam family "Bacterial small subunit ribosomal RNA", at positions 524 to 776 of the family's 1533-position model. The record is from RNAcentral.